UUUUUAUCUGCAGGAUAAAUUCAUUUGUAUGUUAGCUCUCAAUAAAAGAAAACAAACACUGUUUGUAUGCCAGAAAAGGGCCAUAUGGAUUGCAUACCUCGUAUAUGUCUUGCAAUGGGAUAAUCACCUAAAAAAAUGCAGGUCUUAGAGAAGGAACUCAAUGAUAUCAUGUAGGGAUAAAAUAUGAAAAGUUGGCCUGAAAGUUUUUGUCGCUUUUUAAUUUGAUACUGUUAUCUAUUGGUUGUGGCAGUGACCUUAUUUGUGCCAGUUAGCUGCUAGAAGAACAACUUAACUUUUACAGAUUUUCUGAGGCAUAUGAAAUGAUAUUAUCAUGUGCCCUGCCCUCUCAUCAUUUACAACUGUCCAAGGAUCAGUUUGGGAUUUGAAGAGAGCUGGAGAGAAGCCUAAUGCACACUUUAUCUUCAAAAUCACUAGUGGAAGCACAAAUGCCAUUGGGAGAUGUACAUACGGCCAUGGAGCAAAAAACAUCUCUCCAGAGCACAGGAGUAACUUUGGUGAACAAUCUGCAAGGAUAAGAGAUAAAUUGGAUGUAUCAGUAAAUUAUAAGUUCUGGGGGCCAAUGCCUUCAAUCAUCGUUUGGCGUUGCUUAUUCAGUACCAUCUUUCUUGGGGAUUCAGCUCCAUUACAUUCUUCAAAGGAGCUGGAAAAUAUGAUUAAAUUGGGAUCAUGUUUACAUUCAGAAAUGCUGUCAUUGUUUCUCCGAAAACAAGUUGAAUCAUUAGCACGUCAUGUUAAUGUCGCUCUGAGCUAGGCUUGCGCCUGGGGCCCGCACACCAGCCACUAUGAUGCUAUGACGAUGCUUCGGAGAAGCUAUGAUGCUUCCAUCCGUUGGUAUCCACAACUCAAAACAUUGAGUUCGAUAGGUCUAACUUACGCUGUCAUGUGGACCACUACUCGUGAGUGAGUCUGGGGUGGGAUGUUGUACGUCGUGGGAAUUUUUAUCCUGGCACAUGAUUAUGACGCAGCAAAUCACUUUUGUUUC
Long non-coding RNA from Sorghum bicolor (sorghum), 1003 nucleotides. RefSeq lists it as uncharacterized. The record is from RefSeq and is a predicted model, not a curated record. Lineage: Eukaryota; Viridiplantae; Streptophyta; Magnoliopsida; Poales; Poaceae. The transcript has 5 exons.